This 410-nucleotide unclassified non-coding RNA is filed under the name Scleria staheliana. RNAcentral's name for it is "sequence contains ITS1, 5.8S rRNA gene, ITS2". The stretch from base 166 to 320 matches the Rfam family "5.8S ribosomal RNA". The record is from RNAcentral. Lineage: Eukaryota; Viridiplantae; Streptophyta; Magnoliopsida; Poales; Cyperaceae.
UGGAGCGGCGGCGCCGCACCAGCCAACCGGCCACUGUCCUCGCGCCGUCCGGUGCGUUGGCUGCGGCUGAUCACGGCGUGGGGGACGCCAAGUGACAUGCGAUGCCGAGGCGGCGGCGGCUCGCUGGAGCGUGCCGCUUGCUGUCGACGCGAAGGAAAUCAACAUGACUCUCGGCAACGGAUAUCUCGGCUCUCGCAUCGAUGAAGAACGUAGCGAAAUACGAUACGUGGUGUGAAUUGCAGAAUCCCGCGAACCAUCGAGUUUUUGAACGCAAGUUGCGCCCGAGGGUCCUGCCCGAGGGCACGCCUGCCUCAUGGGCGUAAUAAGCCCAUCAACGCUCAAGUGUCUUAGACCGUGUCACUUGUGACGGGCCAGGCCAGACUGCGGACGAUGGCCCUCCGAGCCAGAGU